RNAcentral lists this long non-coding RNA (295 nucleotides) under Mytilus galloprovincialis (Mediterranean mussel). Lineage: Eukaryota; Metazoa; Mollusca; Bivalvia; Mytilida; Mytilidae. The record is from RNAcentral.
GUUGUCGUUAGUUGAUAUGGUUCAUAAUGCGUCCCGUUUCUCGUUAUCUUACAUAGAUGAGACCGCUGGUGCUUACUUUUGAAUGGUUUAACACUUUGAUACCAUUUAAAUAUUGCUAUUCGUUGUGAGCCAAAAAUUUGUGGUGCUGAAGACCGUACUGUGAUAUGAUGGUUUACUUUUACAAAAUGUGACAUGGAUGGAGAGUUGUCUCAUUGGCACUCAUACAACAUCUUUUGAUAUAGCUAUAUAUAGGUUUCAUGUAUACGUAAAUUUUGUUCAAAAAGAAUAGAUCGUC